GCCCCUCAAUCUCCGGUGAGGCCGGACGGCGUUGGCUUCCAUCCCUGUCGCCUCUUCCUUCUCGGCUCUCUUCUCCGGGGACUGCAGCAGCGGCGAACCGCUGCCACCAACUCACUCCCCGACUCAACCCCAAGCGCGGGACCCUCAUAUGAACAGAGUCCGCUCGAGACUCUCCCUCUCUACAGAAUCGCACCCAACACCUGCCAGCCACCACUGCCCGGAGUCUUGCAACUCUC
This 236-nucleotide long non-coding RNA is filed under the name Salvia miltiorrhiza (redroot sage). RNAcentral's name for it is "long non-coding RNA (SMIL_LNC009526)". The record is from RNAcentral. Lineage: Eukaryota; Viridiplantae; Streptophyta; Magnoliopsida; Lamiales; Lamiaceae.